Molecule: unclassified non-coding RNA, 378 nt
Filed under: Leontopodium leontopodinum
Lineage: Eukaryota; Viridiplantae; Streptophyta; Magnoliopsida; Asterales; Asteraceae
Description: partial contains external transcribed spacer and 18S ribosomal RNA
Source: RNAcentral
CAACAACUUCCACCUGGCUUACCUUUUCAGUCUUGUGCCAUUGCUUGUAUCGCAUUGAAUGCAUGGUGGGUUUCUUGUGUUGCAUGCCUAAUUGAUGGUAUCAUUUGAAGAACUGAUGUCCCUUUUCAUCUUGUGUCGCACAUGCGAUGUGAGAUGAACCUUGAAGUAGCCUUUGUGAUCCACUCUUUCGAUGUACACGCAUUGAUUUUGUGGCCCACUGUGUGUUGCUUGGUCUCAUGGAUAUGGAACCUGGUGUGGGCAUGGGAUCUUUACUAGUUCCUUGUUUGCCCUGGUUUAGCUUUUCUAAUACACGAUUGUUUAUCACAUUUUAAUGUGGUAGGCUAUAUCGGAUAUGAAUGCUACCUGGUUGAUCCUGCC